Long non-coding RNA from Bombyx mandarina (wild silkworm), 1382 nucleotides. The record is from RefSeq and is a predicted model, not a curated record. NCBI's taxonomy places the organism in Eukaryota, Metazoa, Arthropoda, Insecta, Lepidoptera, Bombycidae.
UGACCCCCUCUACGCUCACUGGGAGACCUGGCCUAAUGUUUAAUUUAUUUGUGGCCUUCCAAAAGUUUUUAAAAUCAUUAUUUGUAUGAUGUGAUGCCAAUCGAUCCAACUUCAGCUGUUCCUCGUUAUUUUGGCACCAUCUUAGACGCGCUUUAAAUAUCGUCUACUUUUACACAUCUCCUCAUAUAUAGGACCGGAUUUAGGCUUGUUAUAAUUUAACCAAAUUAGAAACUUGAGUCUAGCCUCCCUAUGAACCCACCAAUAUGUCUGUUCCAUCCCAUUAUGUGUUUUUGUUUAGUUGGUCUUUUGCUCCGAUUAUUGUUACAAAGAAUAGCUGACUGGCUCAAUGCAAAAACAAUAUCACUAUACAGACGAUCUAUGACUAUUCUAUGCUCUAAGUUAUUACACAAGUGAUCACAACAGUCAUGCAAUUCCUGAGGAAAAUUUAUAUCCCUUAGACGUUCAUGACAAUAUUGUGUGUAUAAUUUUAUUUCAUCCAAAUUUCUGUGAAUCCAUUUUACUUCAUUUUUACUGUUAUAUUUAUCCAUAAUACAAUUAUAUUUUGGUUUUAUUAAAUCUAAGUUACACUCUAUAACUAAAGGAUAAUGAUCAGACCAUAGGACGUCUUGUAUAACAGAUACAUUAACAAUUGUAUUUAAUGCAGAAUUCGUGACCAUGCAAUGGUCUAGCCAACGUGCUGACCCGUGCGUUUCACUGAUAAAGGUGAAAGUAUUAGAUGUAAUACCCAGCUUGUCUAUAUCCGCGCAUAUCCAAUUUUGAUCGAAACAAAAAGUCAUUAACUCACUAUAAAAAGGUUCGCCAGGGUGUGCAUUAAAGUCACCUAAUACGUAAACAGAUUCAAUGUCAUCAUUAUUAAUAAUAGCACUCACCGCGCUAAGGCAUUCUGUGAAAUCCGUCAUAUUAUCCGAUUUAUUCGUGGGCAUAUAAACACUAAAUACUAAACAUGAUCUACGCUCCAUUCGUAUUUUUAUCGCACAAACACGCGGAUUAUCGCACGGAACAACCGACACAUUCUUAAAGACACUUUUAUUCCACAAUAAAGCAACACCUCCGUGCGGUCGCCCGCGUAACAUACCUGCCGUCGUGUCAACUGCGGACGUGCCCGUGCAUCCGAAAUCCUUAUCAAUACUACUGAGAUACGGUAUGUCAUCUGGUAGUAGCCAGGUUUCUUGCAAUGCUAUUAUAUGAGACGUACGACAUAACUCGCGGAUACCUUCGAUGGAGCGCUUUACGCUUUUACAAUUAAAACUGACUAGUUUGAUUACGUAAUUAUCAUUCAUGAUGCUCACUGUGAUAGGCCGAUCACAGUAGUAUUACUGUGCAUAUCAGCUGUUCUAUGCUUAAAAUGCACGAAACGACGA